This is a long non-coding RNA of Perognathus longimembris pacificus (Pacific pocket mouse), 402 nucleotides long. RefSeq lists it as uncharacterized. The record is from RefSeq and is a predicted model, not a curated record. NCBI's taxonomy places the organism in Eukaryota, Metazoa, Chordata, Mammalia, Rodentia, Heteromyidae. The transcript is spliced from 2 exons.
UUGGCCUUGAGUGGAAAAACUCAAGGACAACAUCCAGACUCUGAAUUCUUCAAGCCUCAUGAGGGAUCAAAAAGGAAAGAGGGGAGGGAAGAAGAGGGGGAGUAAAAGAUCAUAGAGAGUGAAGCACCCAUAAUUUAUGAAUGUAUGCUGGUUUUAUUUCUAUUUUCAAACAGCUUGAAGUUAUUGAUAAAUGACUACUAAGCUCUUUGUUUAAUUUCCAAAACUUCUUUCAGUUACAUUUCUCAGUAUAUCAAAUCAGUUAUUGAAGACAGCAAAUUGAUUUAGUAUUCAGAAGUAAAAUCUGAUACAAAUACUAUCAAGCCCUACCUUAUCUGUGAUAGGCCUUUGAUUAAAGUGUUUGGAAUACUGUUGAAAAAUAAUGGGAAAAUAUACCUGUGAUUU